RNAcentral lists this ribosomal RNA (400 nucleotides) under uncultured bacterium. RNAcentral's name for it is "bacterial SSU rRNA". It matches the Rfam family "Bacterial small subunit ribosomal RNA", at positions 666 to 1064 of the family's 1533-position model. The record is from RNAcentral.
AUUCCACGUGUAGCAGUGAAAUGCGUAGAAAUGUGGAGGAAUACCGAUGGCGAAGGCAGCCCCCUGGGAUAACACUGACGCUCAAGCACGAAAGCGUGGGGAGCAAACAGGAUUAGAUACCCUGGUAGUCCACGCCCUAAACGAUGUCUACUAGUUGUCGGGUCUUAAUUGACUUGGUAACGCAGCUAACGCGUGAAGUAGACCGCCUGGGGAGUACGGUCGCAAGAUUAAAACUCAAAGGAAUUGACGGGGACCCGCACAAGCGGUGGAUGAUGUGGAUUGAUUCGAUGCAACGCGAAAAACCUUACCUACCCUUGACAUGUACGGAAUCCUUCAGAGAUGAGGGAGUGCUCGAAAGAGAACCGUAACACAGGUGCUGCAUGGCUGUCGUCAGCUCGUG